AAUUCCAAGUCUUGCACCCGGGUUCAAACAUAUGCAACCCAAGAACCUGCUAAAGAAAUCAGUGUAUCCUCAAACCCAACGCACCGUCGCCAAUCAACGCGGCAUACUGAGAAAACUUUCAAAUGUUCAAUUCAAAAUACCUCCUUUCGAAAUUCAAGUAAACAAUCGAUGGCAAGAACAAGACACCGUGAAUCAACAUCGACAUCAUAACCAAUGGAGGUUCUUUCUCGCGCGUAAAUCGAAGAAGUCGGAGGGAGAGAUAUUUACCGAUUGAUUCCGGUGCGGUGGCUAUGGGUAACCUAUUCCUUCAGUACUCUUCUUUGCGCCUUCAAUUUCACUUCUGUUACUUUAUCGUUUGUGUUGCCGACAUUGCAUGGAGAUAAGGACGAACAUGUUCGUAUUCGUGUACCGCGUUGGAAAUAUGAUGAGAUCUGUGGUUGAAGCAGUGAAUUAAUUUCUUCAUGAAUCGUUUGUUGAAGGAUUCACGAUGAUACACAUCGAAGAGUUUCGUUCCCUCCUCUCCAAGAAAUGCCUGAGUUUUCGGAUCAUUUGGUUUGCACUUGCAGGUAGGUUCGUUCAUUGGACAUGCUAUUGAUGUAAUGUAUGGUGAAGAAAAAACAAAGUGAGUAUGCUUCAACAAUGAAAGUUCAAGGUUAACAAAGAGUGACAAAGAAGCAUUUGAAUUCAGCGUUUUCUCAAGUGAUUUGCUGAUUCUUGAAUCUCUGCCAGCAUUAUUGUAACUUGAGGUGAAAGAUCAAGCUCUUUUUUCAAGAACCUUCUUUUCAAUUCUGAAAUGGAUCUUAGUUCUUCCACCACCUCUCGAUCCGCUUCUUGAAUUGGGUCAUUGUUGUAUGGAAUUGGAAUUAAACGAUGUAGUGAAAUUGAAUGUUGAUUUAUAAAUGGAAAAAUUGGAAUGUAUGCUA
This is a long non-coding RNA of Lathyrus oleraceus (garden pea), 923 nucleotides long. RefSeq lists it as uncharacterized. NCBI's taxonomy places the organism in Eukaryota, Viridiplantae, Streptophyta, Magnoliopsida, Fabales, Fabaceae. The transcript is spliced from 2 exons. The record is from RefSeq and is a predicted model, not a curated record.